This is a long non-coding RNA of Daphnia pulex (common water flea), 1192 nucleotides long. RefSeq lists it as uncharacterized. NCBI's taxonomy places the organism in Eukaryota, Metazoa, Arthropoda, Branchiopoda, Diplostraca, Daphniidae. The transcript has 7 exons. The record is from RefSeq and is a predicted model, not a curated record.
GUUUCAUUCCCGCGUGGGUUUCAUGGGUGUUGGGUGGCGGUGGUGAGGGUCUUGUCUGAAUUUCAAUUGCUUCAUAGCUAAGAGGCACUCUGAUUUGUCCUUGGUCAAAUCAUCGGAUCACAUGGCUUGACUGCUGUCCAUUUUGCCAUAAUGUCCUCCAUUUCUAUGUGUACCAGCUGUAUGUCUCAUCUGAUACUGAAACACUUUACAGAAGAAACUUGACUUGAAAUUCUAGAUCCCAUUGCAAAAUUUCUGAAACUAUAAGGUUUCACAGCCAGGUGAAGUCUGAGCUUCUGCAGUGCUGUCUAACGUGCUCAUGGAUUUGUUGCAGCCAGCUGGCAUAAGGUGUUCCUCUUGCUGGCUUUCUACCCGUACCAGCUUUUCCCACUUACAGAAACAAUAGAGAACAAUUCUGAAUAGUAAAGCUGAUAAAAUUUUUACGUUAGGAUUAACAGUCCUUUGAAUUCUUGGCUUAAGCUAAUAAGCUAUUUCAUCACUGCAUUCUAAUGUGGAUUUGUUAAGCCAGCUAGUUAAUUUUUCAUCAUACAAUGUUCUUAAAGGCACCUUUUUAAAAAUGUAACUUCAGCCAUCUAAACCAGCAUUUGUAUCCAAUUGUUUAGGCUGCACGGAAUUCUCAUUUCCCUUUGAUGUGAACUUCAAUAACAUGCACUAAUUGAAGGUUUACGUUCCCAGAGUUGCUGCCUAAUCUGGCGUGUUGUUCCAGCCUAUGCCGAUGAAAGAUAUUUUUUCUUCAAGUUGAAAUGAGGCUGUUCCUUGGUGCUGGCGUCGUGUAGCGGAAGUUGCAUCCUGUAUUUUGUUCAAUGGUACAAGUGUCUUUAUCGUUUAUAUGUUGAGAAGUUAUAGAAUAUGGGGAGUUCUUACGUAAAAUAAAUAAUAAAUAUUUUCGGGAUUGGAAAACACCGAGGAGGAAGAUGGUGGGGGGUGGGAUGGGUUGAUUUGACUUAAAUUGAAAUGCUAAUUAAUAGUGACGUGAAAGUCAGUGUUGACACUCUUAUUAACCCAUAACCCAACAUAAAUUCAAAUAUCUAUAGAUCUAGAUUAUCUCUAUACCCGCUAUUACCCAUCCCUCUCACUCCCCUAAUGCUCAUACUUCUAAUAUCCAAACUCCUAAUACCCAUCCUUUUUAAUCUCAUACCUAAUUAAUGUAUACAUUUAACAUAAAAUAAACAAA